AGCAAAGAGAUUUCAGAAAACCACUUAAUAUUCGUAUCGAGCCUAUCGGCUAAUUAAAGAGAAAACUUUUGCAGGUCGUCAAGUAUAUUGGUUCAGACUUAAUCAACAACCUGACCAGAUCUAAAAUGUUUAUUUGAACAUGGUUCGCGCGCUCCUCCCAGAAUCUCAACAUUGGAAGCAAUAGAACAAUAGCUGUGGUCUUGUUGGGUGAUGUGGAGGCAUUUCAGGAUUCAAUGCAAGAGAAGGCGCAGAUAUACAGAAAGGGGGCGCAAACCAAAAUCUUGGAAUUAUCGUUUUGCGGGACGCUGGACACAGCUGGCAAUUAGGGUUUCCAUUGGGGAAUAUAGUCCCCAUCCAAGAGUAGGCAAAAGAUACAUUGUGUUUGUUAGUAAUUGCAAGCGUUAUAAUUAUUAAUCUGUCUGACUAGUGACAAAAAUCGACGAAAGAACUCAUUUCGAGCUUAGAGUAUAGUAUAUCCAUCUACCUUGAGAUGAACAGUUGGCGAUUGAAUAGGUGGUAUUUGCAGAGCAUUUUCAGGUGCCUGGUCUUUGCUAUAACAUUUUGCUUACAUGCAAGGGAGCUCAUAGAUUGAUUGAUUUUAUUUUCUACGAACUCUGCUCAUUUUCGUCCAAACUGGAAUCGCAAACAACUGUAAAAAUUGUCCCAAGGAUUUAAUGGCAUUGCCUAAAAAUCAGAGAGUUUCAAAUGCCCAAAUCAUUCAUCUCACAACACGAUGCACUACACGAAGAUGUGUAGGCUAGACUGUUGACAAUCUUCUUUCAGAUGCUUUUGAUGGUUUUGAGGCUGAUGUUGAUGGAAAUGGUUGUGUUCCCUUUGAUAAACCUAGCAGCUCUAAGAAGGUUUGUAAAAGAAAGGGAUCAAUGUCUAGCAAAGCUCGUGUACUCUAUGUUUAUGAAUGCCUAGAUUCAGAGAUGAAAACCACUACCUAGGUCCCAAUGGUGGCACUGUACUUAUUCUGGCAAAUAAAGGCCUACAUGGUCCACAUCUUUUACAAGCUCUGAUGUGGGCUGAAGAAACAUCAGUACAAAAUCUCACUUGCACCCUCACUUGAAAUUUUGAAUCAAGAAAAUGAAUCACUGGCUUCUGCUAGAGUUCUAAAUGUGUCUUCAAGGUCAAGAUCGGGUUUGGUGUGUGUUUUAAACCUGGAUUAUAAUAAACAAUUUGCUAUAGAAGAGCAUUGUAUGAAGCGUCUUGUGGGUAGUGAUAAUAAGCCUAUGAAUUCAGCCAGGAAGGAUGCUUUUCUUGAAGAAACUCUUGUUGAAGCAAUUGUGGAUCAUUCCUGCAAGCAAUUCUUUCAAAACAGUAUGAAGACGCUAAUAUGAAUUGUAGUCAAGGCAUCAACGAGGAGAAUAUUUAGUCCACUCCAGUUACAUAUCAAACUCUUAGCGGUGAGAUCAAAGUUGACUAUUCAAGAGUGCAGGUGGCAUUGUAUAACACUCGGAUAGUCAUUAAAACACUCGGACAGUGUUAAUGUUUAUGGCAUUUGUUUCAACUCCCAUUACCAGCUUUCUGGUUUGAAUAAGGGCAGUGGUGACCUGAAAUAAGACUCAAUCGAAGGCAAAUAUGCGUUGUAGAGGAGGGAAAGACAUAGCUUUUAAUAGGAUUGUAAGCUACGUGGACAAAAAACCUCAACAAUUUCUUGUUAUAUGAAGGACCAUCCUGAAUAUUCAUAAGAAGAGACAGUUAUUCAUAUCAAUAACCUUUUUGACCAAUUGCUUAUAGAAUUAACAUGGGAAUUUUAGAAUCCCAACAAAGUUCCAAUUGAAUGGGAUAAAUUUACUUCAAUCUUGGUUGAGGAGUUCAGAGCUUUUAUAUAUUUGGAGAUGGUUUUUCAUAUCAUGAUAAGGGAGUCAAGAAACAAGUAUUCAAAGUUCUAUUUGAUCUAGUUAAAAUCUAGAAAGAUGGUGUUUCUAUUAGAUGAAGACCAAAAUAAAAAAUUACUAUAAUCAUAUUAAGUCAUAAGUGAUGGUCAUUAAAUCUACAUUCCUUUGUAUAAUAUAUAUAUCUUGAUAAGGGAGUCAAGAAACAAGUAUUCAAAGUUCUAUUUGAUCUAGUUAAAAUCUAGAAAGAUGGUGUUUCUAUUAGAUGAAGACCAAAAUAAAAAAUUACUAUAAUCAUAUUAAGUCUUAAGUGAUGGUCA
Cryptomeria japonica (Japanese cedar) is the source of this 2161-nucleotide long non-coding RNA. RefSeq lists it as uncharacterized. The record is from RefSeq and is a predicted model, not a curated record. Lineage: Eukaryota; Viridiplantae; Streptophyta; Pinopsida; Cupressales; Cupressaceae. The transcript is spliced from 4 exons.